UACAGAGGUGGCAAGCGUUGUUCGGAAUUACUGGGCGUAAAGGGCGCGUAGGCGGCCAUCUAAGUCAGACGUGAAAUCCCCCGGCUUAACCUGGGAACUGCGUCUGAUACUGGAAGGCUUGAGUAUGGGAGAGGGAUGUAGAAUUCCAGGUGUAGCGGUGAAAUGCGUAGAUAUCUGGAGGAAUACCGGUGGCGAAGGCGGCAUCCUGGACCAUUACUGACGCUGAGGAGCGAAAGUGUGGGGAGCGAACAGG
Molecule: ribosomal RNA, 253 nt
Filed under: uncultured bacterium
Lineage: Bacteria
Description: partial 16S ribosomal RNA
Rfam family: Bacterial small subunit ribosomal RNA
Source: RNAcentral